This 253-nucleotide ribosomal RNA is filed under the name uncultured bacterium. RNAcentral describes it as "partial 16S ribosomal RNA". It matches the Rfam family "Bacterial small subunit ribosomal RNA", at positions 524 to 776 of the family's 1533-position model. The record is from RNAcentral.
UACGGGGGGAGCAAGCGUUGUUCGGAAUUACUGGGCGUAAAGGGCUCGUAGGCGGCCAACUAAGUCAGACGUGAAAUCCCCAGGCUUAACCUGGGAACUGCGUCUGAUACUGGAUGGCUUGAAUUCGGGAGAGGGAUGCAGAAUUCCAGGUGUAGCGGUGAAAUGCGUAGAUAUCUGGAGGAAUACCGGUGGCGAAGGCGGCAUCCUGGACCGAGAUUGACGCUGAUGAGCGAAAGCUAGGGGAGCAAACGGG